GGUCAACACAGUAAAGCAAAACGUACGUCAAAAAUUAACGGAUCUAUUUCUCACAAUGAACCCCGGAGAAAUGAUUUUUGUCACUGUCACCAUUGCUACUGAGCAGAUGCGAACAUUACCUGUUGGAAUAAAGUAUGGCGCUAUUGAAUUUCUGUGAAAAAUAGAUUUAUGGAACCACUCACUCAUUUGGCAAUGAAUGGACCAGGACUCAGGUGAAAGCGAACCCUUCAUCUUUGGUUGUGAUCGGCACUUCGAAAAGCGAUUUGAAUAUCUUUUUUCGAAUCUGAUACGGCAAGGACAAUAUGUUUCUUACUUACUUAUGGAAAUAUGCUCUUUGACCGAAACGUGGUGUCUGUGGGAAUAGCAAUAAAGGAUGGUUCCCUUCAGAGGAAAUCGAGAUAAAGCAAAAUUGAAUAUUCAUUGUAGCCCUUUGGGAAUCGAGAUGGUAGGAAACCGCAGCCCGAAACGGCGAGCUAGCAUCAGCAGCGAGGUCUUAUAAAAAUAUAUCCGACAGAGACCGGUCAUCUGAUCCAAUUCGCCGCCAACGAUUCAAAUUCCGAAACGGUCGGAUCGAGGGGGAAAAUGCUCCGCUAAUCAUAAAUAGCUCGGCUGGUGUGGCGAUGUACUGCCGGAAAACAGACAUAAACGAUUUACACACUCCAAAGGCAGCAACAGAAGCCACUGUGUCUGGCUGGGCUUCCACACGUUCUCCAAUAACUCCCCGGUCGGUUUAUUGCUUUAUUUUCCAGUAUCAAUAAAACAUCUGUGUGUUCCAUGGAUUGGUGCAAGCAAGCACCUGU
Malaya genurostris is the source of this 800-nucleotide long non-coding RNA. RefSeq lists it as uncharacterized. The transcript is spliced from 3 exons. The record is from RefSeq and is a predicted model, not a curated record. Lineage: Eukaryota; Metazoa; Arthropoda; Insecta; Diptera; Culicidae.